This is a non-coding RNA of Salmo salar (Atlantic salmon), 54 nucleotides long. Lineage: Eukaryota; Metazoa; Chordata; Actinopteri; Salmoniformes; Salmonidae. The record is from Rfam.
AAUGCACCAAUUUGUAAGUCGCUCUGGAUAAGAGCGUUUGCUAAAUGACUUAAA